This 855-nucleotide ribosomal RNA is filed under the name Amphidinium massartii. Its description in RNAcentral is "partial Bacterial large subunit ribosomal RNA". It matches the Rfam family "Bacterial large subunit ribosomal RNA", at positions 1704 to 2697 of the family's 2925-position model. The record is from RNAcentral. Lineage: Eukaryota; Dinophyceae; Amphidiniales; Amphidiniaceae.
GUGUAAAGAAUUUGACAAUAGUAUUAUGAAACUUAGGGAUAAUAAUUUAGUUUAUCGGGCGACUGUUUAACAAAUACACAGGUCUUAGUUACGACGAUCUUCACCUUAGGGCUGAUAUGUGAUCAGUGCCUUAGUUAGGUAAACAUCGGCGGUAACUAUAACCGUCCAAAGGUAGCGAAAUUCCUUGUCAUUUAAGUAAUGACCUGCAUGAAGCAUGGAACGAUUAGAUAAGUGUCUUCCACAAGUUUAAUGACGAAAUGGUAGUUAGCGUGAAGAUACGAAAUUAUGUUUUAGGACAAGAAGACCCUCAGAUGCUUUAUACUCAUACUAGUUUAUAUAGCAGUCGUCUAUCUUCUGGGCUGUGUUUAUCGCCCCUCAGAAAUGGAUGCACUGUUCUGGUUUUAACGUUGCUAGCUCAAUGGUUUUUAUUAAAAGUACAGAUGUUCCUAGACGGUUUGUUUGGGGCGAACACCUUCUUUACUCAACGAGAGGUUAACAAAGAAUGGCAAAGCUGUCUAGAACGCGUACUUUAAGUAGAAAGGCAGAACCACUCCUGAUAAUUAGAAGUCAUUCAAGUUAGGCAUAGAAGUUGUCUUAUUGAUCUUGAAAUGGACUUACAUGAUAAAAGUAACUCAAGGGAUAACAGGCUUAAUCGGAACAAGAGCUCAAAUCGACUUCCGGUCUUGGCACCUCGAUGUCGGCUUCCCUUUUCCAAGAGAUGCACAAGGCUCUAGGGUGGAGGUGCUCACUCCAAUUCAAGGGACACGAGCUGGGUUCAGAACGAUGUAAAUCAGUUUGGUCUAUAUCCGAAACAUUACAACUGGGAUUAAGGUGCUUAGUACGCAAGGACCGGCA